This 536-nucleotide ribosomal RNA is filed under the name Sterigmatosporidium polymorphum. Its description in RNAcentral is "eukaryotic LSU rRNA". The stretch from base 147 to 300 matches the Rfam family "5.8S ribosomal RNA". Lineage: Eukaryota; Fungi; Basidiomycota; Tremellomycetes; Tremellales; Cuniculitremaceae. The record is from RNAcentral.
UCCGUAGGUGAACCUGCGGAAGGAUCAUUAGUGAAUGGGCCGAAAGGUCCUUAACACAUCCAACACCUCUGUGAACUUGUCGGGCCUCCGGGCCUGUUUUUUACAAACACCUGUGUAAUGAACGUCAUGUAUCUUAAUACAAACAAAACUUUUAACAACGGAUCUCUUGGCUCUCGCAUCGAUGAAGAACGCAGCGAAAUGCGAUAAGUAAUGUGAAUUGCAGAAUUCAGUGAAUCAUCGAAUCUUUGAACGCACCUUGCGCCCUUUGGUAUUCCGAAGGGCAUGCCUGUUUGAGUGUCAUGAAAACCUCAACCCCUCGGGUUUUGUAACCUGGGUGGGUUUGGACUUGGGUGUCUGCCGGACUUUGGUCUGGCUCACCUCAAAUGAGUUAGUGGGACAGCGAACCCAUGGCUUGACGUAAUAAGUUUCGUCUGAGCCUGGUCGUGGUGCCUGCUUACAACAACCAUAUCUUAUGACUCUGACCUCAAAUCAGGUAGGGCUACCCGCUGAACUUAAGCAUAUCAAUAAGCGGAGGA